RNAcentral lists this long non-coding RNA (3988 nucleotides) under Sus scrofa (pig). RNAcentral describes it as "lncRNA (ENSSSCG00000062565.1)". Lineage: Eukaryota; Metazoa; Chordata; Mammalia; Artiodactyla; Suidae. The record is from RNAcentral.
UGUCACAGCCAUAGCAAUGCUAGAUCCAAGCUAUGUCUGUGACAUACAAUCACAGCUCAUGGCAACACCAGAUCACUUAACCCACUGAGCAAGGCCAGGAAUCGAACCCACAUCCUCACAGAUACUAGUUGGAUUCUUAACCCACUGAGCCACAACAGAACUCCUUGUCUAUCUCUUAAACCAAUAUUCUAUCAAAAAAGAUUAAUGUGAAUUGUGGUGGGGAAUAUGAAGCUAUGCUUUGGAAAGUACAAAAUCAAGGCAUAAAGAAGUUAGUAAAAUCUACAGACUAGUUCUGGUCCGUGGUCCUCACUAAUCAACUUCCAUAGUUGACUGUCAUACACACAAACACAGGCAAAUACGCACACAUGUGCACUGGUUUGCUGAAAGAGACAUUUCUUACAACAGAGACGGCAAUUACAAACACAUUUAUGGAAAAAUGGAAAUCUUAAAGUUGAUAUUUGAAGAAAUAAGAAUCUGAAUAGACUGCAGUUUUAUCUUAAGCUUAGACUUAAGAGAAGGAUUCCUGACCAAAGGCAACCAUCUUGCAGUCUAGGGUCCAAGCAGUUAAUAUAGCAUUGAGUGGGAUGGGUACAGAGGCUAGCAAAAGCGAUCCAAGCAGUUCUCAAAGUGGCCCCCAAAAGAAUGUCCUACAAACACUGUUAAAGAUUCCAAAAUGUUUACAGGAACUUCCCCUCAAAUAAACCAUGUACCAGUGAUUUUACAGCUAAGUUUUACUAACCGUUCAAUUUGGUCCAGAAAAUUAGAAGAAUGGGAGACCAUUAACACUACAGUUUGAAAAUAACUUUGAUUCUAAAACUGGUAAAUAAUAAUACAAAAUAAAAGAAAACAUAGGCCCAAUUAUCUCAUCAACAUAAAUUUGAGAAGUCUAAGUAAGGAAGACACCAAGAGAAUGGUGAUAAAUUACACCAGUUUCAUGCAGGGCUCCAGUUCCAGGGUUCUACUGCUUGCAGAACAAAGAUGGACAGUUAACUGAGAGCUACCUACCCUGUCAUGAUUGGUCAAUCAAUGUCUUAUGUACUCACUCAUGUGAGCUUCAGACUCUCUGUCUAGUCUGGCCUUCCUCUGUUGACACAAGAGGUUCAAGUGUUAAACCAGUGUAGACAUUGCUGCGGACAUUGUUCUAUCCCAGGAGAGGCUUGGAACCACAGAUAACCAAUCCUUCACUGUCCUGAAACAUUGGCCUUUCACUGGUUUGGUUCAGAGCAGUGACAAGGCAUGGCUAAAAUACUUUCCCUUGCAUUGCUUCUAGGAGGCCAUGUACUUACUGCCUUUUCUUUAGCUUAACCAUCAUAAUGCCAUCAAUACAGCAUACUUAAAUUUUUGCAGAUGGAUGAUGUGAUACCAUACUGAGAAAACCCUAAAGACAGCAUCAGAAAACUGUUAGAACUCAAUGAAUUUGGCAAAGUUGCAGGGUACGAAAUUAAUACACAGAAAUCAAUUGCAUUUAUAUAUACUAAAACUCAAAGAUAAGAAAGAGAAAUCAUAAAAAUCAUCCCAUUUAUAAUCACAUCAAAAAUAAUAAAAUACCUAGGAAUUAAUCUACCUAAAGAUCCCUAGCAAUGAAUCUAACUAUAGAAACAAAAGACCUAUACUCUGAAAACUAUGACACUGAUGAAAGAAAUUGAAGACAACACAAAUAGAUAUAAAGAUAUACUAUGCUCUUGGAUUGGAAGAAUCAAUAUUAUAAAAAUGACUAUACUAUCCAAGGCAAUUUACAGAUUCAAUACAGUCCCUAUCAAAUUACCAAGGACAUUCUUCACAUAACUAGAACAACAUAUUUUAAAAUUUGUAUGGAAACUAAGAGACCCCAAAUAGCCAAAGCAAUACUUAAAAAUAGAAAUGAAAAUGGAGGAAUCAACCUGACUUCAAACAAUACUACAAAGCUACCAUUAUCAAAAAAUAUGGUAGUGGCACUAAAACAGAAAUAUAGAUCAAUGGAACAGGACAGAAAGCCCACAGAUAAACCCACGCACCUAUGGUCAACUAAUCUAUGACAAAAGAGGUAAGAACAUACAGUGGAAAAAAGAUAGUCUCUUCAAUAAAUGGUGCUGGGAAAACUGGAAAGCUACAUGUAAAUGAAUGAAUAUAGAACACUAUCUAACAUCAUACACAAAAAUAAACUCAAAAUGGAUUAAAGACCUAAAUGUAAGGCCAGAUAAUAUAAAACUCCUAGAGGAAAAUAUAGGCAGAUCAUUCUUUGACCUAAAUCACCAAAGCAUCUUGUUUGAUCCACCUCCUAGAAUAAUGACAAUAAAGACACAAAUAAACAUAUGAGACCUAAUUAAACUCAAAAGCUUUUGCACAGCAAAGGAAACUAUUAAAAAAUGACAACCCACAGAGUGGGAGAGAUGAUGCAAUAGACAGGGGCCUAAUAAUCAAAAUAUACAAGCAAAACAAAAAUACAAAAUAAAAAAAAAAAACACUGAAAAAUGGGUAGAAAACCUAAACAGACAAUUCUCCAAAGAAGAUACAUGGAUGGCUGACAGGCACAUGAAAAAAUGCUCAACAUCCCUAAUUAUUAGAGAAAUGCAAAUCAAACUACAUGAGGUACCACCUCAUACCAGUCAGAAUGGCCAUCAUUAACAAGUCAACAGAUAGCAAAUGCUGAAAGGGUGUGGAGAAAAUGGUACCCUCAUCCAUUGUUGGUGGGAAUGUAAAUUGGUACAACCACUAUGGGAAGCAGUAUGGAACUUCCUCGUAAAACUAAAUAUAAAACUAUCAUAGGAACCAGCAAUCCCACUCCUGGGCAUAUAUUUGGGCAAAACUUUCAUUGAUACAUGUACCCCUGUGUUCACUGCAGCACUGUUCACAUGAGCCAAAAUAUGGAAACAACCUAAAUAUCCAUCAACAGAUGAAUGGGAUUAAGAUGUGGUAGUAAUAAUAAACAAAAUGAUGUAUAUAUAUAUAUAUAUAUACAAAGAAAUACUACUUAGCCAUAAAGAUAAACUAAUGCUAUUUGUAGCAACAUGGAUGGAACUAAAGAUUCUCAUACUAAGUGAAGAAAGCAAGAAAGAAAAUGAGAUAUUUUAGAUAUCACUUAUUUGUCAAAUCUAAAAUAUCACACAGGAGAGAGACAAGAUGGCAGAAGAGUAGGGGGACAUGCUUGCCCUCUCCCACAAACACACACAAAAAAACACAUCUACAGGAUAAACAACUCUCACAGAACAGCAACCAAUCGCUGGCAGAAAAACUAAAACUCCAUAUGGCAAGAAUCUUGUGACAUUACUAGGUAAAACAAGAGAAAAGAAGAGAGUGAGAGAAGGUGAAUCCAAGCUGGAUGGGCGCUCCCGAAAGGGAACUGUGGAGGAGAAAGGGAUCCUGCACCCUAGAAAGUCACCUACUCGAGAGAAAGAUCAACCAAACCGGAGGAAUCUCCAGAUGCAGAGAAGAGUGUUCUGAAAAGCAGAGCGAGAACCGAACAGAUUAUCUGAACUAUGGGUACAGUCACCAAAAAUUGAGAUGCCUGGGUUGGGGCUGGGCACCAAGACCUCGGCUCUGGAGGUUAGUCCCAGGGAAAGGGCCGGGGGUGUGGGGUGGAUCGGAGACUGCUUGGGAGGUCUAGAAACCAGUCUGUCAAGUUUGACAGGGCAGGGACUGCCUGGGAGACCAGAAAGCAGAGCGUUGCAGGGGGAGGGAGCAAUAUGCUAAGGGCGGGGAAGUGGAAAACCACAUCAGAGGGAACCUGGGAGAAGAGCCUGGUCUGCACCAGAGCUGGGGAGGGGAGAAAAGAAGGGGUGGGUCUCCAUAGAAUACUUCCCAUGCCACAGCAAGCUUACCGGCCCGCUAGCUAUCAGAAAGCUGUGCUCCCCAGUGCAUCCCCUCCCCACCCGCCCCCACCACCCCCUACGCACACGCAGGACCUGGGGCUGCCUGCCAUCGAGGAGGGCUGGCCUCAACAAUUGCUGGAAGCCUACCACUGUAGGGGCUGUCCCUGAUCUGGCCUGCUUGCCCUUUGGAGGGGCUACAC